Molecule: non-coding RNA, 94 nt
Filed under: Conticribra weissflogii
Lineage: Eukaryota; Bacillariophyta; Thalassiosirophyceae; Thalassiosirales; Thalassiosiraceae
Source: RNAcentral
UAGUUUGAAAGGGUAAUUUAUUUCAUUGUGAGAUUAUUCUACUUUUCUUCGAAGGAUUCUAUUCUUUCUUGCAACCAAUAUAACGUUAAUUAUU